RNAcentral lists this ribosomal RNA (440 nucleotides) under Epinephelus polyphekadion. RNAcentral's name for it is "partial 12S ribosomal RNA". It matches the Rfam family "Bacterial small subunit ribosomal RNA", at positions 769 to 1409 of the family's 1533-position model. The record is from RNAcentral. Lineage: Eukaryota; Metazoa; Chordata; Actinopteri; Perciformes; Serranidae.
AAACUGGGAUUAGAUACCCCACUAUGCUUUGCCCUAAACAUUGAUAGUUCUAUACAACCACUAUCCGCCUGGGAACUACGAGCAGCAGCUUAAAACCCAAAGGACUUGGCGGUGCUUUAGACCCACCUAGAGGAGCCUGUUCUAAAACCGAUAACCCCCGUUCAACCUCACCUUUUCUUGCUCUCCCCGCCUAUAUACCGCCGUCGUCAGCUUACCCUAUGAAGGCCCUUUAGUAAGCACAAUUGGUACAACCCAAAACGUCAGGUCGAGGUGUAGCGUAUGAAAAGGGAAGAAAUGGGCUACAUUCCCUACAACAGGGAAUUACGGAUAAUAUCACUGAAACGUGUAUCUAGAAGGAGGAUUUAGCAGUAAGCAGAAAAUAGAGUGUUCUACUGAAGCUGGCUCUGAAGCGCGCACACACCGCCCGCCCGGUCACCCUC